GCGCGUGCCUAAUACAUGCAAGUCGAGCGGACAGAAGGGAGCUUGCUCCCGGAUGUUAGCGGCGGACGGGUGAGUAACACGUGGGUAACCUGCCUGUAAGACUGGGAUAACUCCGGGAAACCGGAGCUAAUACCGGAUAGUUCCUUGAACCGCAUGGUUCAAGGAUGAAAGACGGUUUCGGCUGUCACUUACAGAUGGACCCGCGGCGCAUUAGCUAGUUGGUGAGGUAACGGCUCACCAAGGCGACGAUGCGUAGCCGACCUGAGAGGGUGAUCGGCCACACUGGGACUGAGACACGGCCCAGACUCCUACGGGAGGCAGCAGUAGGGAAUCUUCCGCAAUGGACGAAAGUCUGACGGAGCAACGCCGCGUGAGUGAUGAAGGUUUUCGGAUCGUAAAGCUCUGUUGUUAGGGAAGAACAAGUGCAAGAGUAACUGCUUGCACCUUGACGGUACCUAACCAGAAAGCCACGGCUAACUACGUGCCAGCAGCCGCGGUAAUACGUAGGUGGCAAGCGUUGUCCGGAAUUAUUGGGCGUAAAGGGCUCGCAGGCGGUUUCUUAAGUCUGAUGUGAAAGCCCCCGGCUCAACCGGGGAGGGUCAUUGGAAACUGGGAAACUUGAGUGCAGAAGAGGAGAGUGGAAUUCCACGUGUAGCGGUGAAAUGCGUAGAGAUGUGGAGGAACACCAGUGGCGAAGGCGACUCUCUGGUCUGUAACUGACGCUGAGGAGCGAAAGCGUGGGGAGCGAACAGGAUUAGAUACCCUGGUAGUCCACGCCGUAAACGAUGAGUGCUAAGUGUUAGGGGGUUUCCGCCCCUUAGUGCUGCAGCUAACGCAUUAAGCACUCCGCCUGGGGAGUACGGUCGCAAGACUGAAACUCAAAUGAUUUG
This 890-nucleotide ribosomal RNA is filed under the name Bacillus sp. PS-62. Its description in RNAcentral is "bacterial SSU rRNA". It matches the Rfam family "Bacterial small subunit ribosomal RNA", at positions 39 to 912 of the family's 1533-position model. The record is from RNAcentral. Lineage: Bacteria; Bacillati; Bacillota; Bacilli; Caryophanales; Bacillaceae.